UGGUGGGUAGUUUGACUGGGGCGGUCUCCUCCUAAAGAGUAACGGAGGAGCACGAAGGUUGGCUAAUCCUGGUCGGACAUCAGGAGGUUAGUGCAAUGGCAUAAGCCAGCUUGACUGCGAGCGUGACGGCGCGAGCAGGUGCGAAAGCAGGUCAUAGUGAUCCGGUGGUUCUGAAUGGAAGGGCCAUCGCUCAACGGAUAAAAGGUACUCCGGGGAUAACAGGCUGAUACCGCCCAAGAGUUCAUAUCGACGGCGGUGUUUGGCACCUCGAUGUCGGCUCAUCACAUCCUGGGGCUGAAGUAGGUCCCAAGGGUAUGGCUGUUCGCCAUUUAAAGUGGUACGCGAGCUGGGUUUAGAACGUCGUGAGACAGUUCGGUCCCUAUCUGCCGUGGGCGCUGGAGAACUGAGGGGGGCUGCUCCUAGUACGAGAGGACCGGAGUGGACGCAUCACUGGUGUUCGGGUUGUCAUGCCAAUGGCACUGCCCGGUAGCUAAAUGCGGAAGAGAUAAGUGCUGAAAGCAUCUAAGCACGAAACUUGCCCCGAGAUGAGUUCUCCCUGACUCCUUGAGAGUCCUGAAGGAACGUUGAAGACGACGACGUUGAUAG
This 606-nucleotide ribosomal RNA is filed under the name Escherichia coli. Its description in RNAcentral is "partial 23S ribosomal RNA". It matches the Rfam family "Bacterial large subunit ribosomal RNA", at positions 2259 to 2859 of the family's 2925-position model. The record is from RNAcentral. Lineage: Bacteria; Pseudomonadati; Pseudomonadota; Gammaproteobacteria; Enterobacterales; Enterobacteriaceae.